CCUGUGUCAGUACCUUGGGGUGGCACCGAUGCAGGAGAGCCCGGUUGCUCCGGGCUUGGAGCUUCGGCGCCCAGGCUGCAGACUCCAGACCUGGGAGUUUCUGCCCGAGCAAAGGGAGAAGCGCGCCACUGCGGGCGCCUAGCUGCCUGCGCCCAGAGCUCGCAAGGACCUCAACCUGAGAAAGACACGGGAGCCUGGCACCUGGGUUGGACUUCUGACACAUUGGCGCAGCUGCUCCAGGUAUAGACAUGGGACAGAAAAACCCGGUCCAGAUGCAAAGGUCAAGUCCACACCGGCUCCAAAGCCGGGAUAGGGGGAUCAAUUACAAGGGUGCUGGGGCUGAGCAAAUUCGGCCACAGCGACCGAACCUGCGGGGUCUUUUGUGUCUGGGCGUGGAGGGUUGUUAGGACUAGAAAAAGGAGGAAGAAAGUUCCUAGCAGAGAGCGUGUCCCUGCCUCCCCGGAGACCUUCUUCGCAGCUCCUGCGCCGCACAGGAAGUCUUGCCAAACCCGGUGUUGGAGCGAGCGCUGUAUCCGCACCGGAGGAAAAUGCCCCGAAGUGCCCCAGCGGUCUGGAUCCCAGAAGAGAAGUCGUGAGGAUGCGCGCUGCAGGGCCAGGGGUGCACGGGGUAUCACGCCGCAGCUCGGUCCUCGGACAAUUCUGGGACCCGCGCGAGGUUUCCCAGACGGAGAACGGAUUCUGCUGAGAGGAGAUCGAAGCUGAGACAGCACACGAGGCCCAAGUGGCGCGCAGACAGCUCGGGGCGAGCACCCGGGAGCAAGCGGUUUCUGCGGGCGGGACUGGCGGCCGCCCUGGACCCGCAGGUUCCGGACCGGGACGAGAAGGUCAGUAGAAAGAGUCGGAUCUAUGGAGGUUGUAGCCACGGCCUCGGCCACAGCUUCGGGAAUCCCAAGCCAUACCAAUGGGCCUUGGAGCCCAAAGCACCAAAGCCACCAAAAGCAACGUUCGCCAACCUCUGUCACUCGGAGGUCGGGAGUCUCGGUGGCUGCCGCCGCGCCGUUACUCCCGGGUGACUUUGCGAAACGCACAGAUGGGGACGCCUCCGGCCCGGCACGCAGGGCCGGCUGAUGGAUCGUCUCAUUUCCCGACUUGAUGGGCCGGAACCUGGGGUGGCGGGGCUGGGGGAGGGGGCCGUGCGCGUCGGGACCCAGUCGGAUGGCCGCGUGGGCCGGGUGGGAGGCUCUGGCCGCCGGAUUUGGGUUGGGGGAUGAGGGUGCGACAAACAGAUCUUAGAGAAAAACCUCGAAUCCCUCCCCCCCCCGCCCCCUCUGUCUCCGUCCCCAACACGAAGUUAUCCCUUCCUCCUUUUUCUGUUUUGGGCACAGGCGCCGCGUCCCGGGUCUCCGGGGACAGCGUGACUGUGAGUGCGGUGGCGGCUCUCCGGGGCUCCGGGCCCCGCCUCCUUCCUUGGGUGUCCGCGUCCGCCUGCACCGCGCUGUUGGCAUCCUUUCCUGCGGGUGGCUGCAGGAGGGCAGGACUCGGGAAGGACCCUGUGGGGGGAGGGUGUGAAAGCCGCAGAGGGUGAGGGAAAGCUUUCAUUCCGGGUCCAUCUAAAGUCCAAUUCUGGCCUCGGACUGGGAAUUUUGGAGAGAGACAGAGGGGCAGGGGUGGAGAGUCAGGGUAGCGGCGAGGGGUGUUGUAGAAGGGAAAAUGCACACCGAGCAGCUUGCAUCCCGGCUGUCCUACCCUCCAGGGAGACCUAGAAAGACAGGAGCCUCGGGGAGAGACAAAGUCGGCGGUCCCUGUCCGCGCACCUCUUCCAAGGUUCAGACAGGCCAGGCGCGUGAGGAAGCGAGGAGCGAGGGGAGAACGCGAGGCUGCGCUUAGGCGAGAUGAGGACAACUGAAGGGGAGAUGGGUGGCAUCACUGGGGUUCCUGCUUCAGGGCCGUAACUGUGGGGUGUUUUCCUUUCAGCUUGCCAGAAUUUCCCCCAGGUCUCAGGAGCAGGAACUCCCGGCUGUGCUCCAGGUGUUCAUCCCAGGGCCUCAGGCCUGCCAUGAGGAAUCCCCGUUCUGGGCGUGCAUUUGGGUUCGGUAUCCUGCCCUACUCCCCUCCUGCUAGACAGUGGACCACUCUGAAGGCCCCUCUGGCCAGGAACCUGCCACAAGGGUCAGGGCAUCCAGCUAGUGCACUGCCCCAAUACUAAAGUGUGGUCUGUGGACCCUUAGCAUUUCCCCCCACCUGGCUGCUGCACAAGCUCCGGCCUCACCCACCGCACUGCAGCAGAACCUGCGUGUGAAAAGGUUACCUAGGGGACUUGUGCACCUCUGCAGCUGGAGAAGCCCUGGCCUAAUUUCCAGAGCCCAAGCUGACUCCUGCUGACUCCACACAGUGUGUCUCCCGCUUCAUCUUCAUCGUCUGUCCAGUGAGAGGUGUUUCUGAGGUCCCAGGGCAGCUCUGCAGCAACCCCUGAAACGACUCCACCCCAAGGAAAUGAAAAUCGCUAGUUAGUGGAGCCUGGCAGGAAUGCAGUUUUAAGUGUCCCCAAAUGAUUCUAAUAGCCAGGAAGAACUAGUAGAGAAUUAACUCCCUUUGCAGAUCAGCUGAGAUACGGCCUGGAGCCUACACAAUACUGUGAGUACAAUGCUUCAGACCCCUGGGCUCUAUAGCCAGAUUCACUCUGGCCCCAACAGAUGUGGCCUUGAGCCAGCUAAUGAGCCUUGCUGUGCCUCCGUUUCCUUACCUGUAAAAUGGAGUUGAUAAUAAUGCUCUACCACAAAGAGCGGGGUUCGGGUUUAGAACCAAACAUUUAGAAUCAAUUUCAAUAAAUCUUAGUUUAUAAUGCCAAA
Molecule: long non-coding RNA, 2810 nt
Organism: Neofelis nebulosa (Clouded leopard)
Lineage: Eukaryota; Metazoa; Chordata; Mammalia; Carnivora; Felidae
Exons: 3
Source: RefSeq, a predicted model, not a curated record